AGAGGGUGAUUUUGGCUCAGGAUGAACGCUGGCGGCAUGCCUAAUACAUGCAAGUCGAACGAAGUCUUUAGGAAGCUUGCUUCCAAAGAGACUUAGUGGCGAACGGGUGAGUAACACGUAGGUAACCUGCCCAUGUGCCCGGGAUAACUGCUGGAAACGGUAGCUAAAACCGGAUAGGUAUGAGGGAGGCAUCUUCCUCAUAUUAAAGCACCUUCGGGUGUGAACAUGGAUGGACCUGCGGCGCAUUAGCUGGUUGGUGAGGUAACGGCCCACCAAGGCGAUGAUGCGUAGCCGACCUGAGAGGGUGAACGGCCACAUUGGGACUGAGACACGGCCCAAACUCCUACGGGAGGCAGCAGUAGGGAAUUUUCGUCAAUGGGGGGAACCCUGAACGAGCAAUGCCGCGUGUGUGAAGAAGGUCUUCGGAUCGUAAAGCACUGUUGUAAGUGAAGAAUGCCAUAUAGAGGAAAUGCUAUGUGGGUGACGGUAGCUUACCAGAAAGCCACGGCUAACUACGUGCCAGCAGCCGCGGUAAUACGUAGGUGGCAAGCGUUAUCCGGAAUCAUUGGGCGUAAAGGGUGCGUAGGUGGCACGAUAAGUCUGAAGUAAAAGGCAACAGCUCAACUGUUGUAUGCUUUGGAAACUGUCGAGCUAGAGUGCAGAAGAGGGCGAUGGAAUUCCAUGUGUAGCGGUAAAAUGCGUAGAUAUAUGGAGGAACACCAGUGGCGAAGGCGGUCGCCUGGUCUGUAACUGACACUGAUGCACGAAAGCGUGGGGAGCAAAUAGGAUUAGAUACCCUAGUAGUCCACGCCGUA
This 815-nucleotide ribosomal RNA is filed under the name uncultured bacterium. RNAcentral describes it as "bacterial SSU rRNA". It matches the Rfam family "Bacterial small subunit ribosomal RNA", at positions 8 to 804 of the family's 1533-position model. The record is from RNAcentral.